GAGAUGAUAACGGCUGACUGCCACUGAUAAUUUUAAAUGGCCGCAGUAUACUAACUGUGCAAAGGUAGCAUAAUCAUUAGUCUUUUAAUUGAAGGCUGGAAUGAAUGGUUGGACGAAAUAUAAGCUGUUUCAAUUAAAUUUAAAAUAAAACUUUAUUUUUUAGUAAAAAAGCUAAAAUUUAAUUAAAAGACGAGAAGACCCUAUAAAUCUUUAUAUUUAAAUUAUUUUAAUUUUUAAGAUUAAUUUUAUUAUAAUUAUUUUAAAUAUUUUAUUGGGGUGAUAUUAAAAUUUAAUAAACUUUUAAUUUAUAAAAUCAUUAAUUUAUGAAUAAUUGAUCCAAUAAUAUUGAUUAAAAAUUUAAGUUACUUUAGGGAUAACAGCGUAAUUUUUUUGGAGAGUUCAUAUCGAUAAAAAAGAUUGCGACCUCGAUGUUGGAUUAAGAGAUAAAUUUGGGCGUAGCUGUUCAAAAGUUUAAGUCUGUUCGACUUUUAAAUUCUUACGUGAUCUGAGUUCAAAACCGGAGGUUAAAAGU
Molecule: ribosomal RNA, 532 nt
Filed under: Homoneura biumbrata
Lineage: Eukaryota; Metazoa; Arthropoda; Insecta; Diptera; Lauxaniidae
Description: partial 16S ribosomal RNA
Rfam family: Bacterial large subunit ribosomal RNA
Source: RNAcentral